RNAcentral lists this ribosomal RNA (483 nucleotides) under uncultured bacterium. RNAcentral describes it as "partial 16S ribosomal RNA". It matches the Rfam family "Bacterial small subunit ribosomal RNA", at positions 29 to 506 of the family's 1533-position model. The record is from RNAcentral.
AUUGAACGCUGGCGGCAUGCCUUACACAUGCAAGUCGAACGGCAGCGCGGGCUUCGGCCUGGCGGCGAGUGGCGAACGGGUGAGUAAUACAUCGGAACGUGCCCAGUAGUGGGGGAUAGCUCGGCGAAAGCCGGAUUAAUACCGCAUACGACCUGAGGGUGAAAGCGGGGGAUCUUCGGACCUCGCGCUAUUGGAGCGGCCGAUGGCAGAUUAGCUAGUUGGUGGGGUAAAGGCCUACCAAGGCGACGAUCUGUAGCUGGUCUGAGAGGACGACCAGCCACACUGGGACUGAGACACGGCCCAGACUCCUACGGGAGGCAGCAGUGGGGAAUUUUGGACAAUGGGCGAAAGCCUGAUCCAGCAAUGCCGCGUGUGUGAUGAAGGCCUUCGGGUUGUAAAGCACUUUUGGCGGGAACGAAAAGGACUGUGCCAAUACCACGGUUCGAUGACGGUACCCGCAGAAUAAGCACCGGCUAACUACGU